This 473-nucleotide ribosomal RNA is filed under the name uncultured bacterium. Its description in RNAcentral is "bacterial SSU rRNA". It matches the Rfam family "Bacterial small subunit ribosomal RNA", at positions 335 to 799 of the family's 1533-position model. The record is from RNAcentral.
ACUCCUACGGGAGGCAGCAGUGGGGAAUAUUGCACAAUGGGCGCAAGCCUGAUGCAGCCAUGCCGCGUGUGUGAAGAAGGCCUUCGGGUUGUAAAGCACUUUCAGUCGUGAGGAAGGUAGUAGUGUUAAUAGCACUAUCAUUUGACGUUAGCGACAGAAGAAGCACCGGCUAACUCCGUGCCAGCAGCCGCGGUAAUACGGAGGGUGCGAGCGUUAAUCGGAAUUACUGGGCGUAAAGCGCAUGCAGGUGGUUUGUUAAGUCAGAUGUGAAAGCCCGGGGCUCAACCUCGGAAUUGCAUUUGAAACUGGCAGACUAGAGUACUGUAGAGGGGGGUAGAAUUUCAGGUGUAGCGGUGAAAUGCGUAGAGAUCUGAAGGAAUACCGGUGGCGAAGGCGGCCCCCUGGACAGAUACUGACACUCAGAUGCGAAAGCGUGGGGAGCAAACAGGAUUAGAUACCCUGGUAGGAUAGCG